CAACUCAAAAAAAGAGUGAAUAUUGCUGCUGGAGUCUUGUCACAAUUCAGCACAGGCUGUCGUAAACCACUUCCAGCCCCUGUGUGCAGCUUCUACAAAUACAUGAAGCGCUGCGAACCUGGCCGGGGCGCAGGAAGAGACAGCCCAACAAAACCUAACAGAUGAUUCAUGUUUUUGAGCCACUUAUGGACCUUAAAAAAAGAGAAGAGUUUGAGACAGAUAUAAAUAUCCCCACAGCAGAGCAGAGGCUCCUCUCAGUGGCUUGGUCCCAAAGGAGGAUGUGUCUGACGAGGAAGGCUGUGCUGAUGGGCCAGAGAUGUGCUGAAGCAUUCAAAGUUAAGAUUAGGCAGGAAAUUAGUAGGUGUGUUUGCACAGCUUUAGGAGCAAACAUUUCUAAGGCCCAUACAAGACCUUGCAUAGCCAGAGGCUGAGCACUGUUCCAUAGGCACAGGCCAGGGGGACAGGCUCCCACUGAGUUUUACACCGUCUGGAUCAGACUCCCCCAGAAAGGAGUGGCUAGGAUGAUGCGCUCCAAAAGGUAUCUAAUCUGUGUUGAAAAUGUUCCUAUUCUUCAGAGAUGAAGAAUCCUUUGUUUCUCUGGAGGCUUUUUGCUAAUCAAUUUCACCAAUUAAAAUUUGUUAUUUGUUUCUUA
Numida meleagris (helmeted guineafowl) is the source of this 652-nucleotide long non-coding RNA. RefSeq lists it as uncharacterized. The record is from RefSeq and is a predicted model, not a curated record. Lineage: Eukaryota; Metazoa; Chordata; Aves; Galliformes; Numididae. The transcript has 3 exons.